Molecule: ribosomal RNA, 185 nt
Filed under: uncultured Burkholderiales bacterium
Lineage: Bacteria; Pseudomonadati; Pseudomonadota; Betaproteobacteria; Burkholderiales
Description: partial 16S ribosomal RNA
Rfam family: Bacterial small subunit ribosomal RNA
Source: RNAcentral
CCCGGCGAAAGCCGGAUUAAUACCGCAUACGACCUGAGGGUGAAAGCGGGGGACCGAAAGGCCUCGCGCUAUUGGAGCGGCCGAUGUCGGAUUAGCUAGUUGGUGGGGUAAAGGCUUACCAAGGCGACGAUCCGUAGCUGGUCUGAGAGGACGACCAGCCACACUGGGACUGAGACACGGCCCAG